AAACGGGGAGUUUGAUCCUGGCUCAGGGUGAACGCUGGCGGUAUGCUUAACACAUGCAAGUCGAACGGGAUCUUUGGGUUUAGUGGCGGGCGGGUGAGUAACGCGUGAGAAUCUAGCUCUAGGUCGGGGGCAACCCCUGGAAACGGUGGCUAAUACCGGGUGUGCCGAAAGGUGAAAGAUUUAUUGCCUAGAGAUGAGCUCGCGUCUGAUUAGCUAGUUGGUGUGGUAAGAGCGCACCCCGGCGACGAUCAGUAGCUGGUCUGAGAGGGUGAUCAGCCCCACUGGGGCUGAGACACGGCCCCGACUCCUACGGGGGGCAGCAGUGGGGGAUUUUUCGCAAUGGGCGAAAGCCUGACGGGGCAAUACCGCGUGAGGGGGGGAGGCUCUUGGGUUGUAAACCUCUUUUUUCAGGGGAUAAGAAAGUGAAGGUACCUGAGGGAUAAGCAUCGGCUAACUCCGUGCCCGCAGCCGCGGUAAUACGGGGGGUGCAAGCGUUAUCCGGGAUGAUUGGGCGUAAAGCGUCCGCAGGUGGCACUGUAAGUCUGCUGUUAAAGAGCAAGGCUCAACCUUGUAAAGGCAGUGGGAACUACAGAGCUAGAGUACGUUUGGGGCAGAGGGGAUUUCUGGUGUAGCGGUGAAAUGCGUAGAGAUCAGGGAGAACACCGGUGGCGAAAGCGCUCUGCUAGGCCGUAACUGACACUGAGGGGCGAAAGCUAGGGGGGCGAAUGGGGUUAGAUACCCCCGUAGUCCUAGCCGUAAACGAUGGGUACUAGGCGUGGCUUGUAUCGACCCGAGCCGUGCCGGGGCCCCCGCGUUAAGUAUCCCGCCUGGGGGGUACGCACGCAAGUGUGAAACUCAAAGGGAUUGACGGGGGCCCGCACAAGCGGUGGGGUAUGUGGUUUAAUUUGAUGCAACGCGAAGAACCUUACCCCGACUUGACAUGUCGCGAAUCUUUUUGAAAGGGGAGAGUGCCUUAGGGGGCGCGAACACAGGUGGUGCAUGGCUGUCGUCAGCUCGUGUCGUGGAUGUUGGGUUAAGUCCCGCAACGAGCGCAACCCUCGUUUUUAGUUGCCCGCAUUAAGUUGGGCACUCUAGAGAGACUGCCGGUGACAAACCGGGGGGAGGUGGGGGUGACGUCAAGUCAGCAUGCCCCUUACGUCUUGGGCUACACACGUACUACAAUGCUACGGACAGAGGGCAGCAAGCUAGCGAUAGCAAGCAAAUCCCGUAAACCGUAGCUCAGUUUAGAUCGCAGGCUGCAACUCGCCUGCGUGAAGGGGGGAUCGCUAGUAAUUGCAGGUCAGCAUACUGCAGUGAAUUUGUUUCCGGGCCUUGUACACACCGCCCGUCACACCCUGGGAGCUGGCAACGCCCGAAGUCAUUACUCCCCCCCUUUGUGGGGGGGGGUGCCUAAGGCAGUGCUGGUGACUGGGGUGAAGUCGUAACAAGGUAGCCGUACCGGGAGGUGUGGCUGGGUCACCUCCUUU
Molecule: ribosomal RNA, 1487 nt
Filed under: Trichormus variabilis SERB 45
Lineage: Bacteria; Bacillati; Cyanobacteriota; Cyanophyceae; Nostocales; Nostocaceae
Description: partial 16S ribosomal RNA
Rfam family: Bacterial small subunit ribosomal RNA
Source: RNAcentral